AUUGAACGCUGGCGGAAUGCUUUACACAUGCGAGUCGAACGGCAGCACGGACUUCGGUCUGGUGGCGAGUGGCGAACGGGUGAGUAAUGUAUCGGAACGUGCCCAGUCGUGGGGGAUAACGUAGUGAAAAUUACGCUAAUACCGCAUACGAUCUAUGGAUGAAAGCGGGGGAUCGCAAGACCUCGCGCGAUUGGAGCGGCCGAUAUCAGAUUAGCUAGCUGGUGGGGUAUAGGCCCACCAAGCCAACGAUCUGUAGCUGGUCUGAGAGGACGACGAGAAACACUGGAACUGAGACACGAUCCCGAGUCGUACGAUAAGCAGCAGUGGGGAAUUGUGUACAGUGGGCGAAAGCCUGAUCCGGCAAUUGCGCGUGCAGGAUGAAGGACUUCGUGUUGUAAACGGCUUUUGUACAGAACGAAAAGGUUGCUACUAAUACUAGGAGCUCAUGACGGUACUGUAAGAAUAAGCACCGGCUAACUACGUGCCAGCAGCCGCCGUAA
RNAcentral lists this ribosomal RNA (500 nucleotides) under uncultured bacterium. RNAcentral's name for it is "partial 16S ribosomal RNA". It matches the Rfam family "Bacterial small subunit ribosomal RNA", at positions 30 to 523 of the family's 1533-position model. The record is from RNAcentral.